RNAcentral lists this ribosomal RNA (252 nucleotides) under uncultured bacterium. RNAcentral describes it as "partial 16S ribosomal RNA". It matches the Rfam family "Bacterial small subunit ribosomal RNA", at positions 524 to 776 of the family's 1533-position model. The record is from RNAcentral.
UACGGAGGAUGCGGGCGUUAUCCGGAUUUAUUGGGUUUAAAGGGUGCGUAGGCGGACUGUCAAGUCAGCGGUAAAAUUGAGAGGCUCAACCUCUUCCCGCCGUUGAAACUGGUGGUCUUGAGUGGAUGAGAAGUACGCGGAAUGCGUGGUGUAGCGGUGAAAUGCAUAGAUAUCACGCAGAACUCCGAUUGCGAAGGCAGCGUACCGGCAUCCAACUGACGCUGAGGCUCGAAAGCGUGGGGAGCAAACAGG